Molecule: ribosomal RNA, 460 nt
Filed under: uncultured bacterium
Lineage: Bacteria
Description: partial 16S ribosomal RNA
Rfam family: Bacterial small subunit ribosomal RNA
Source: RNAcentral
CCUACGGGAGGCAGCAGUGAGGAAUAUUGGUCAAUGGGCGCGAGCCUGAACCAGCCAAGUAGCGUGAAUGAUGACUGCCCUACGGGUUGUAAACUUCUUUUGUAAAGGAAUAAAGUGAGGCACGUGUGCCUUUUUGUAUGUACUUUAUGAAUAAGGAUCGGCUCACUCCGUGCCAGCAGCCGCGGUAAUACGGAGGAUCCGAGCUUUAUCCGGAUUUAUUGGGUUUAAAGGGAGCGUAGAUGGGUUGUUAAGUCAGUUGUGAAAGUUUGCGGCUCAACCGUAAAAUUGCAAUUGAUACUGGAAGCCUUGAGUACAGUGGAGGUAGGCGGAAUUCGUGGUGUAGCGGUGAAAUGCUUAGAUAUCACGAAGAACUCCGAUUGCGAAGGCAGCUUACUAAACUGCAACUGACAUUGAGGCUCGAAAGUGUGGGGAGCAAACAGGAUUAGAUACCCGGGUAGUC